RNAcentral lists this ribosomal RNA (318 nucleotides) under uncultured fungus. RNAcentral's name for it is "eukaryotic LSU rRNA". The stretch from base 1 to 52 matches the Rfam family "5.8S ribosomal RNA", at positions 103 to 154 of the family's 154-position model. The record is from RNAcentral. Lineage: Eukaryota; Fungi.
AACGCACCUUGCGCUCCUUGGUAUUCCGAGGAGCAUGCCUGUUUGAGUGUCAUGAAUACCCUCCACCGCCUGGGCUUUUGUCUCGGCGGCUGGGACGUGGGGGAUUAGUGCUGGCCUUCGCGGGUCGGCUCCCCUGGAAUGCAUUAGCUUGGACCUUUGCGGACCAGCUUUUCGGUGUGAUAAUUGUCUACGCCGUGGGCUGUGAUGCUGUUUAACAUGCUUCGGCGUGUUGGGGUUCUGCUUCUAAUGGUCCCUUUGGUGGGACAACUUACUUUGACCUCUGACCUCAAAUCAGGUAGGAUUACCCGCUGAACUUAA